This 759-nucleotide long non-coding RNA is filed under the name Nicotiana tabacum (common tobacco). Its description in RNAcentral is "long non-coding RNA (NTAB_LNC000707)". Lineage: Eukaryota; Viridiplantae; Streptophyta; Magnoliopsida; Solanales; Solanaceae. The record is from RNAcentral.
CUGACAGUGAAAUUCCAUGCAAUACCAACAAUGAUGUUGCCGACUAUGUAUCAGUUGAGGCAAACCUUGAAGAACCGGUAGUUGAAGAAAAACCUGAAGAAACAACGGUUGAGAAGAAACCUGAAGAACCAUCAAUUGAGGAGAAACGUGAAACACCAGCAUUUGAGAAGAAACCUGAAGAACCAAUAAUUGAGGAGAAACCUGAAGAACAAACAAUUGAAGAGGAGAAACAUGAAAGGAUAACUCUCCUGGAAAAGGUGAGGAUCAAGCAUUGUCACAAAGUUUAUCCAUCUUGUUAGUCGUGUAUACGAUACAAUUUACAUAUGCUUACCUACUGAAAGACUAAGUAAGACUUUAAAGUUCUUCUUGCAGAGUAUUCCAGUUGUAGUCCCGAACGACAAAACUGAAAGUAAAACUCCAAGCAUUACAAACAAUAAUGCUGCUCACUUUUCAGAAGUUGAGGAAAACCCUGAAGAACCUGCAGUAAAAGAAAAAACUGAAAAACCAGUUCUUGAAGAGAAACCUGAAGAACCAACAGUUGAAGAGAAAUCUGAAGAACCAGUUGAGGAGAAACCUGAAGAACCAACAGCUGAAGAGAAACCUGAAGAACCAGCAACUAAAGAAAAACAAGUGCUAGUAGGGGAGGAAACAGCUGAAGAACUAGCGCUUGAAGAGAAACCUGAAGAACUAACGAUUGAACAGACAGAUGAAGAACUAGUUGUUGAAGAUAAAACUGAAAAACCACCAAAUAAAGAGGAG